GCCUAGCUAUAAACUAAGGUAGCACAAACACACCCUACCCGCCAGAGAACUACAAGUGAAAAACUUAAAACUCCAAGGACUUGGCGGUGCCCCACACCAACCUAGAGGAGCCUGUCCUAUAAUCGAUAAUCCACGCUCUACCCAACCAUCUUUCGCCCUCAGCCUAUAUACCGCCGUCGCCAGCCUACCCUCUGAAAGAAGCAUAGUAGACAAAAUAGUUAUUAACUAAUACGUCAGGUCAAGGUGUAGCACAUGAGAUGGAAGAGAUGGGCUACAUUUUCUGCUAUAGAAAACACAAACAGCUCAAUGAAACUUGGGCCAAAAGGCGGAUUUAGAAGUAAGACCAACUAGUAUUUUUGUCUUAAACCUGCUCUGGGGCGCGCACACACCGCCCGUCACUACUCA
RNAcentral lists this ribosomal RNA (405 nucleotides) under Plestiodon lynxe. RNAcentral describes it as "partial 12S ribosomal RNA". It matches the Rfam family "Bacterial small subunit ribosomal RNA", at positions 794 to 1406 of the family's 1533-position model. The record is from RNAcentral. Lineage: Eukaryota; Metazoa; Chordata; Lepidosauria; Squamata; Scincidae.